Molecule: unclassified non-coding RNA, 408 nt
Filed under: Hevea brasiliensis (rubber tree)
Lineage: Eukaryota; Viridiplantae; Streptophyta; Magnoliopsida; Malpighiales; Euphorbiaceae
Source: RNAcentral
UGCUGCAAAAUUUAAGCCUCUGGAUUCUGGAUGAUAGUAAUGAUAGGUUCUUUGAGGGACCUGAGCAUCUCUCCAGAUAUUGUGGUGAUUAGCCCAUGUUGGGACUGGUAUAUAGAUUUGGGAAUCUGGAGAAAAUCGCUUUUGAAAAUCUGCAAAAAGUCGACAUGCACCAGUCCCAGAGAGAGAUUGCACUGCUGCUAUCCGUUUAUCUUUAAUGAACUCAGAGUUCUCUCCAUAGGCCAAUUUCAAUGUUUCUUCUACCAUUUUCACACUCCCUCCCAUUGGAAGAUACUCCAUGUUUAAUUUUCCAGCAAUCCUCCGCUCCGCUUCUCUAACGCAUUCCAAAACAACAGGCUUUCCAUUAUCAUCCCGGUAAGCACCAACUCCAACAUUGACUUUGUCAGGACU